Mytilus californianus (California mussel) is the source of this 827-nucleotide long non-coding RNA. RefSeq lists it as uncharacterized. NCBI's taxonomy places the organism in Eukaryota, Metazoa, Mollusca, Bivalvia, Mytilida, Mytilidae. The record is from RefSeq and is a predicted model, not a curated record. The transcript is spliced from 4 exons.
GCCAUAGUUGUUGAUCGAAUAAUAUUUAUACACGUAGUUUGAAAUCGUUUUUGGUUCAUCGGUUUUCUUUAGAGAAAACGCACUUUUCCCGGAUGUAUCCUGUUAUGCAUAUAUUUCAAGUUUUGAUGUAAAAAGGCUGUGAUAAAUUGAGAAUGAAUUCGUAUUUUAUAAUAAUACUUCCAAUAGUGUUAGUUGUGAAAAUAAUAUUUUGGACGACAUACUGUUAUUUUCGGUCACAGAGAUGCAGAUCAGCUCGGGACGACAGGAAUAUCCUUGUGACAUCGCCAACUGCAAUUAUUGACAGACGACCGGUACACGGACAUGCAGUCAAUGCUGUAAAUGGGAAGGAAAAUCCCUGUUACUUCCAACAACCAGAAGUAUACCCAAAUGUCACCAGGUCAACGUCUACUCCGGUGCCAACUUAUGACCAAGCCAUCAAGUCACCAUACUAUAGAGAACAUAUCAACAAUUAUUAAUUUCAUUUAAGUUUCCCUUAAAUGCAUAUACAUUAUAUUCGCUAUAAAACAUUUCUUCAUCCAUUUCAGUAUUUAUCCAUAUUUCUGACAAAAUAUAGUGCUUUAGAAUAAUGUAUCUUAUUUAUGAUUUUAGAAACGUCCCUCCCCCCCCCCCCCCCCCCCUGGCCAAUGCUAAUUUCUUUCUAUCCAUUGCUUUGAAUCAAAUUCAUAUCAUACUUUUAUAUUAAUUAUUAUUAUGUAUUAUCAUUGGCGUUUCUUACAUUUUAUUGUAUGUGACAUCGUGUAUUCGAUCCGUUUUAUACGAAAUUUUUCAAACUUUCUUUUGGUGUAAAAAUGAAAAAAAAAAGAAAA